CUCAGGAUGAACGCUAGCUACAGGCUUAACACAUGCAAGUCGAGGGGCAGCAUUGGGAUAGCUUGCUAUUCAGAUGGCGACCGGCGCACGGGUGAGUAACGCGUAUCCAACCUUCCUGCCAGUAGGGAACAGCCCGGCGAAAGUCGGAUUAAUGCCCUAUGUUCUUCAAUGCGGACAUCUAAGUUGAAGGAAAGAUUCAUCGCUGGCAGAUGGGGAUGCGUCCGAUUAGCUUGCCGGCGGGGUAACGGCCCACCGGGGCGACGAUCGGUAGGGGUUCUGAGAGGAAGGUCCCCCACACUGGUACUGAGACACGGACCAGACUCCUACGGGAGGCAGCAGUGAGGAAUAUUGGUCAAUGGGCGUAAGCCUGAACCAGCCAAGUAGCGUGCAAGGAUGACGGCCCUACGGGUUGUAAACUGCUUUUAUGCGGGGAUAAAGUGCGGCACGUGUGCCGCUUUGCAGGUACCGCAUGAAUAAGGACCGGCUAAUUCCGUGCCAGCCGCAGC
This 506-nucleotide ribosomal RNA is filed under the name uncultured bacterium. RNAcentral's name for it is "bacterial SSU rRNA". It matches the Rfam family "Bacterial small subunit ribosomal RNA", at positions 23 to 518 of the family's 1533-position model. The record is from RNAcentral.